UUCCGGUUGAUCCUGCGGACCCCACUGCUAUCGGGGUGGGACUAAGCCAUGCAAGUCGAAGGUCCCCGGCUCCGGGGGCCUGGCAGACGGCUCAGUAACACGUGGCCAACCUGCCCUCGGGAGGGGGAUAACCCCGGGAAACUGGGGUUAAACCCCCCAUAGGCGGCGGGAUCUGGAAGGACCCGCCGCUGAAAGUGGUGCACGGGGAUGCUCCGUGCACCAGCCCGAGGAUGGGGCUGCGGCCCAUCAUGGUUGUUGGCGGGGUAACGGCCCGCCAAGCCUAUAACGGGUACGGGCCCUGGGAGGGGGAGCCCGGAGAUGGGCUCUGAGACAAGAGCCCCAGGCCCUACGGGGCGCAGCAGGCGCGAAACCUCCCCAAUGCCCGAAAGGGUGAGGGGGCCACCCCGAGUGCCACCCUCGUGGUGGCUUUUGCCGGGUCUAAAAAGCCCGGCGAAUAAGGGGGGGGCAAGACGGGUGUCAGCCGCCGCGGUAAUACCCGCCCCCCGAGUGGUGGGGACUAUUACUGGGCUUAAAGCGCCCGUAGCCGGCCGGGUGUGUCCUCCGUUAAAUCCACGGGCCUAACCCGUGGGCUGCGGAGGAUACUACCCGGCUUGGGGGUGGGAGAGGGCGGCGGUAUUCCCGGGGUAGGGGUAAAAUCCUCUGGUCCCGGGAGGACCACCAGUGGCGAAGGCGGCCGCCCAGAACACGCCCGACGGUGAGGGGCGAAAGCUGGGGGAGCAAACGGGAUUCCCUACCCCGGUAGUCCCAGCUGUAAACGAUGCGGGCUAGGUGUCGGGUGGGCUACGGGCCCACCCGGUGCCGAAGGGAAACCAUUAAGCCCGCCGCCUGGGGAGUACGGCCGCAAGGCUGAAACUUAAAGGAAUUGGCGGGGGAGCACCACAAGGGGUGGAGCGUUGCGGCUUAAUUGGAGCAACGCCGGAAAU
Molecule: ribosomal RNA, 944 nt
Filed under: uncultured archaeon
Lineage: Archaea
Description: bacterial SSU rRNA
Rfam family: Archaeal small subunit ribosomal RNA
Source: RNAcentral